GGUGGCUCAAUGGUAGAGUGCUUGCUUUAUAUUCAUGAGGCCCUGGGUUCGAUGUCUCAGCACCA
This 65-nucleotide transfer RNA is filed under the name Dipodomys ordii (Ord's kangaroo rat). It matches the Rfam family "tRNA". From Rfam's summary of the family: Transfer RNA (tRNA) molecules are approximately 80 nucleotides in length. Their secondary structure includes four short double-helical elements and three loops (D, anti-codon, and T loops). Lineage: Eukaryota; Metazoa; Chordata; Mammalia; Rodentia; Heteromyidae. The record is from Rfam by way of RNAcentral.